This 253-nucleotide ribosomal RNA is filed under the name uncultured bacterium. RNAcentral's name for it is "partial 16S ribosomal RNA". It matches the Rfam family "Bacterial small subunit ribosomal RNA", at positions 524 to 776 of the family's 1533-position model. The record is from RNAcentral.
UACGUAGGGUCCGAGCGUUGUCCGGAGUUACUGGGCGUAAAGCGCGCGCAGGCGGCGGUGUUGGCCCGGCGUGAAAGCCCCCGGCUCAACCGGGGAGAGUCGUCGGGGACCGCACCGCUUGAGGGCGGUAGGGGCUGGUAGAAUGCCUGGUGUAGUGGUGAAAUGCGUAGAGAUCAGGCAGAACACCUGGGGCGAAGGCGGCCAGCUGGGCCGUCCCUGACGCUGAGGCGCGAAGGCGUGGGGAGCGAACGGG